CGUGGGUAACCUGCCCAAGAGAUCGGGGUAACACCUGGAAACAGAUGCUAAUACCGGAUAACAACAGAUGAUGCCUAUCAACUGUUUAAAAGAUGGUUCUGCUAUCACUCUUGGAUGGACCUGCGGUGCAUUAGCUAGUUGGUAGGGUAACGGCCUACCAAGGCGAUGAUGCAUAGCCGAGUUGAGAGACUGAUCGGCCACAUUGGGACUGAGACACGGCCCAAACUCCUACGGGAGGCAGCAGUC
RNAcentral lists this ribosomal RNA (246 nucleotides) under uncultured Lactobacillus sp. RNAcentral's name for it is "partial 16S ribosomal RNA". It matches the Rfam family "Bacterial small subunit ribosomal RNA", at positions 116 to 355 of the family's 1533-position model. The record is from RNAcentral. Lineage: Bacteria; Bacillati; Bacillota; Bacilli; Lactobacillales; Lactobacillaceae.